Capsicum annuum is the source of this 830-nucleotide long non-coding RNA. RefSeq lists it as uncharacterized. The transcript is spliced from 4 exons. NCBI's taxonomy places the organism in Eukaryota, Viridiplantae, Streptophyta, Magnoliopsida, Solanales, Solanaceae. The record is from RefSeq and is a predicted model, not a curated record.
UCCUCCGUCUUCCACAUCUUCCCCUCCUCAUGGCUUUUCUUGAUUACACCUUUUUGGUGUUGGCAUUUUCUUAAGCUGUGAUGGAGGAAUUAAUCUUCAUUCUUAUAAUAGAACUCAGAAAUAAAAACGAGACAUGAUAUAGAACUGGGGGGUUUUGUAAAGGAUGUUUUCCCUUUUUGCUAUGUCCAUGAUAUCUUUCUCCAUUCAUAAUAAACCAAAUACCCUGGGGUUUUUUGCUCGUCCUUCAGUAAGGAAGAAAUAACACAACCAGGAACAGGAAAAAUAUUCACCAUGGAGGGUACAAAAAGGAAUAAAGGAGUCAAGUACAGGAUUCUCGAAGAAUUGUUUAAAUCACGAAGGAGAGGUGAGAAACUUUCACCUAUUACAUAUUUGUCAGUGUGCUUAAAGUCUACAAUGAGCAGAUUAGGGACCUAUUAGCUCCACAGACAACAUCAAAACGGUUGGAGAUAAAACAAGCUUCGGAAGGGCUUCAUCAUGUUCCAAGACUUGAAGAAGUUAAAGUAGAGAGUAUCAAAGAAGUCUGGAAUGUUCUACAAACCGAAAGUAGUGCACGGGCUGUUGGAUUCAACAAUGUGAAAGAGUACAAUAGUCGUUCUCACUGCAUGCUUUGUAUUAUGGUAACUGCCAAUAAUGUGAUCGACGGUGAAUGCACAAAGAGAAAGCUUUGGCUUAUGGAUUUAGCUGGUAGUGAAAAGUUAUUCUCCCUCUAAUAUUUCCAUCUUUUAGCAGGUGUUGUCUAUUAGAUGUUUCACCGAUUGUUAUUUCAGUUUUAGACUAUUACAAUGUAUGUAUCUUUACUUAUGGAUAAA